RNAcentral lists this ribosomal RNA (472 nucleotides) under uncultured bacterium. RNAcentral describes it as "bacterial SSU rRNA". It matches the Rfam family "Bacterial small subunit ribosomal RNA", at positions 329 to 793 of the family's 1533-position model. The record is from RNAcentral.
CAGAGCACUCCUACGGGAGGCAGCAGUGGGGAAUUUUGCGCAAUGGGGGAAACCCUGACGCAGCAACGCCGCGUGGAGGACGAAGGCCUUUGGGUUGUAAACUCCUGUCAGCAGGGAAGAAAUAAUCGGUUCUUAAUCGCUCCGGUCUUGACGGUACCUGCAGAGGAAGCACCGGCUAACUACGUGCCAGCAGCCGCGGUAAUACGUAGGGUGCAAGCGUUGUUCGGAAUUAUUGGGCGUAAAGCGUGCGUAGGUGGAUCGGGAAGUCAGGUGUGAAAGCCCACAGCUUAACUGUGGAAUUGCGCUUGAAACUCCCAGUCUUGAGGAUGGUAGAGGCAGGUGGAAUACCUAGUGUAGAGGUGAAAUUCGUAGAUAUUAGGUGGAACACUCGUGGCGAAGGCGGCCUGCUGGGCCACUCCUGACACUGAGGCACGAAAGCAUGGGUAGCAAACAGGAUUAGAUACCCUGGUAG